GGGCUAUAUAAGUUGGCUCCGGGCGGUUGGAGGUCCUUUGGAGGACGGUGAUUCAGUCUACAGACGCCGUCCCAGAAGCAGGAGGUGCCACUUCUCUUCCACUUCCCGCUGCAACCAAUAAAGGCCGUUCCUACCGUA
This is a long non-coding RNA of Carlito syrichta (Philippine tarsier), 138 nucleotides long. RefSeq lists it as uncharacterized. The transcript has 2 exons. Lineage: Eukaryota; Metazoa; Chordata; Mammalia; Primates; Tarsiidae. The record is from RefSeq and is a predicted model, not a curated record.